This is a long non-coding RNA of Melospiza melodia melodia, 1382 nucleotides long. RefSeq lists it as uncharacterized. NCBI's taxonomy places the organism in Eukaryota, Metazoa, Chordata, Aves, Passeriformes, Passerellidae. The transcript is spliced from 4 exons. The record is from RefSeq and is a predicted model, not a curated record.
AUUUCUUCUUUAAGCCCUGUCAUCCGAAGACAUCUCCUCCAGCACCGUGGUAAUACAGGGCUCCCUGUGCUGCUGCUCUGGGUAUGCUACCAGCUGUGAUUCACUCUGCUCCUGAGUCAUGUGUGAAGGCCAGUUCAGCAGUGAAUGGCCAUUCUAAGGCUGUCAGAGCAUCUUACCAGAGGAAAAAACAUUGCAUGCAAAGCUUGAAGCAGCAGUCAGAGAUUUUGCCAUCCCACUUUUACAGCCACAUUGGGAAAGGAGGAUUCCUCCCCCCUGAAAUUGGGAGCUGAUUCAUGGAUGGAGCUGCACGCUGGAAAGCAAGAGAGAUGCAUCUCACCAAUGGGCUUGGGACACACAGAUCCAGCUCUGGUUAGCUCCAGCUGAACUGCAGAUGGCAGAGUUUCCCUGGGCAGCCCCUGUGAAAUACACCCAGCAGAACAUGUGCUCCCCAAACAGAGAUGUUUCACUGCUCAGCCUCAGCCUGGCAGCAAUCAGAUGGGAGCUCAGAAAUGCAUCCCCCAGGAAACAAGAGCUGCUCCCUGCUGCUGGAGGCAUGUCCAGGCAGGACAUCCUACCACAUGGUAAAUCGUGCUGUCUUUCCUUCUCAAUUCCAGCUGGAUCUUUUUAGAAGUGCCACCAGUGUGGGGAACACUUUUCUAGCAUCUUUGAGAGAUUUUUCUUGCCAGGCUGCACAGGAAUAGGACAUAGGUGGUCUCACAAUCAAACCCUGUGGCCUUGGGAAAGCUCAAAGAAGACACUUGGCCCCCACAGAACAAUCUCUGAGUAGAGGGAUAGAGACACUGGCCAUGGUGAAGAGGUGACUAACAUAAGGAUGGUGACUGCAAAACCCCAGAAGGUUCCUUUUCAUGCCAAUUUUCUACAUGGCUUGAUGUAUAUAUCUAGGGUCAGGAUGCAGGUAGGUGGCUGAGAUAUGUUUAGGACUCAGCAUGAUGUAUAUGGAAACCAGUUCCCCACUGGUUAGAGUUGGCUCUUGUGCCCAGUAAUCCUCUCCUUUUCCAGAGAACCACAAAUAUGCUCAGGAGUGCUCCUCUCCAGCAAGGGUGUGCUUGAUUCUGUGUCUCUCCUGACAACACUGGCACUGGUCAUUGUGAGAUAACUUUUUACUUCUUGGAGACACUUUCAGCAUCUUUUGCCAGGAAGCAAAGUGGAGAUAAGAUCUGAUUUGUGUUCUUUUUCCUCCUCAGAUUUGCCUUCACUACUCUUGGGAAGAAUUUGUCUGACCUUGGUGUUUUAAUUUUGCUUAUCUUUUUUGAUCCCUUCAGUGUCUUUGACCUGAAAUGCCUGGUUACAGAAUAACUAAACAUUCAGGGUUGGAGAUUUUUUUCUUUCCAUGUACAAAAGCAGAGUUCAAAUACAGCAGG